UACGUAGGGUGCGAGCGUUAAUCGGAAUUACUGGGCGUAAAGCGCACGUAGGCGGCUUUGUAAGUUAGAGGUGAAAGCCCGGGGCUCAACUCCGGAAUUGCCUUUAAGACUGCAUCGCUAGAAUUGUGGAGAGGUAAGUGGAAUUCCGAGUGUAGAGGUGAAAUUCGUAGAUAUUCGGAAGAACACCAGUGGCGAAGGCGACUUACUGGACACAUAUUGACGCUGAGGCACGAAAGCGUGGGGAGCAAACAGG
This 253-nucleotide ribosomal RNA is filed under the name uncultured bacterium. RNAcentral describes it as "partial 16S ribosomal RNA". It matches the Rfam family "Bacterial small subunit ribosomal RNA", at positions 524 to 776 of the family's 1533-position model. The record is from RNAcentral.